GAUGAACGCUGGCGGCGUGCCUAAUACAUGCAAGUCGAGCGAACAGACGAGGAGCUUGCUCCUCUGACGUUAGCGGCGGACGGGUGAGUAACACGUGGAUAACCUACCUAUAAGACUGGGAUAACUUCGGGAAACCGGAGCUAAUACCGGAUAAUAUAUUGAACCGCAUGGUUCAAUAGUGAAAGACGGUUUUGCUGUCACUUAUAGAUGGAUCCGCGCCGCAUUAGCUAGUUGGUAAGGUAACGGCUUACCAAGGCAACGAUGCGUAGCCGACCUGAGAGGGUGAUCGGCCACACUGGAACUGAGACACGGUCCAGACUCCUACGGGAGGCAGCAGUAGGGAAUCUUCCGCAAUGGGCGAAAGCCUGACGGAGCAACGCCGCGUGAGUGAUGAAGGUCUUCGGAUCGUAAAACUCUGUUAUUAGGGAAGAACAAAUCUGUAAGUAACUAUGCACGUCUUGACGGUACCUAAUCAGAAAGCCACGGCUAACUACGUG
RNAcentral lists this ribosomal RNA (497 nucleotides) under uncultured bacterium. Its description in RNAcentral is "partial 16S ribosomal RNA". It matches the Rfam family "Bacterial small subunit ribosomal RNA", at positions 28 to 507 of the family's 1533-position model. The record is from RNAcentral.